Molecule: long non-coding RNA, 384 nt
Filed under: Carica papaya (papaya)
Lineage: Eukaryota; Viridiplantae; Streptophyta; Magnoliopsida; Brassicales; Caricaceae
Description: long non-coding RNA (CPAP_LNC013906)
Source: RNAcentral
CUCAGGCUCCAGGGGCUGCACGUGGGAAGAUCUGUCAGCACUGCGGCAGAGAUCACGGGGACCGACCCUGCUAUCGCCUCAACAACACUUGUCGCAUUUGUGGCAGUGCCCAGCAUUAUGCAAGAGAAUGCCCGAGGAACCAGAAUCAAGGGAGGCCUCCUAUCCAGGGCAGAGCUUACAACCUUACCCAGCAGGAUGCCGAUGCCGACGCCGACCCGGAUGUAGUACAGGGUAUGUAUACUAUCUGUGACCAUGUUGCUCAUGUUUUAUUUGACACUGGUGCAUCACACUCUUUUGUUUCACAUGCUUUUGCUUCCAAAAUUAAUGUAUCACCUGAUAAACUUGAUUCAUUAUUGUUUGUGUCUACUGCUGGGGGUGAAACAC